UUGGGGGAACCCACCCCCCGGAAUGGGACCCUGCCCAUUUCUUGGGGGGCCCCGUGGGAAUUUGCCAAAGGGCCAACCCGAUCCACCAUGCGGGGGUUGAAGAAGUCUUCGGUUUUAAAGUCUUUAGUGGGAGGAAGGCGAUAAGUUAAUACCCUUUGCGAUGACGUUACCCCAGAAGAGCACCGGCUAAUUUCGUCCAGCAGCCGGGUAAUCCGGAGGGGCAAGCGUUAUUGGAAUUACUGGGCGUAAAGCGCACUCAGUCGUUCUGUCAAGUCGGAUGUAAAAUCCCCGGGUUCACCCUGGGAAUUGCUUUAGAAACUGGCAGGUAUAGAGUCUUGUAGAGGGGGGUAGAUUUCCAGGUGUAGCGGUGAAAUGCGUAGAGAUCUAGAGGAAUACAGUUGGGGAAGGCGGCACCUUGGACAAAGACUGCCGCUCAGUUGCGAAAGCUUGGGGAGCAACCAGGAUUAGAUACCUUGGUAGUCCACGCCGUAAACGAUUUAGACUUGGAGGUUGUUCCCUUGAGGCGUGGCUUCCGGAGCUAACCCGUUAAGUCGACCCCCUGGGGAGUACGGCCGCAAGGUUAAAAUUCAAAUGAAUUGACGGGGGCCCCCCCAAGCGGUGGACCAUGUGGUUUAAUUGGAUCCAACGGGAAGACCCUUACAUACUCUUGCCAUCCAGAGAACUUCCCAGAGAUGGUUUGGUCCCUUCGGGAAUUUUGCGCCAGGUGCUCCAUGGCUUUCUUCAGCUCGUUUUGUGAAAUGUUGGGUUAAUUCCCGCAACGAGCCCAACCCUUAUCCUUUGUUGCCACCGGUUAGGCCGGGCACUCUAAGGAGACUGCCAGUGAUAAACUGGAGGAAGGUGGGGAUGACGUCAAGUCAUCAUGGCCCUUACGACUAGGGCUACACACGUGCUACAAUGGUGCAUACAAAGAGAAGCCACCUCGCGAGAGCAAGCUGACCUCAUAAAGUCCGUCGUAGUCCGGAUUGCAGUCUGCAACUCGACUCCAUGAAGUCGGAAUCGCUAGUAAUCGUGGAUCAGAAUGCCACGGUGAAUACGUUCCCGGGCCUUGUACACACCGCCCGUCACACCAUGGGAGUGGGUUGCAACAGAAGUAGGUAGCUUAACCUUCGGGAGGGCGCUUACCACUUUGUUCAGGGC
Molecule: ribosomal RNA, 1158 nt
Filed under: Enterobacter sp.
Lineage: Bacteria; Pseudomonadati; Pseudomonadota; Gammaproteobacteria; Enterobacterales; Enterobacteriaceae
Description: bacterial SSU rRNA
Rfam family: Bacterial small subunit ribosomal RNA
Source: RNAcentral